Molecule: ribosomal RNA, 253 nt
Filed under: uncultured bacterium
Lineage: Bacteria
Description: partial 16S ribosomal RNA
Rfam family: Bacterial small subunit ribosomal RNA
Source: RNAcentral
UACGAAAGGGGCUAGCGAUGUUCGGAGUUACUGGGCGUAAAGCGCACGUAGGCGGCCUAGCAAGUUGGGGGUGAAAUCCCAGGGCUCAACCCUGGAACUGCCUUCAAAACUGCUAAGCUUGAGGAUGUGAGAGGUUGGCGGAAUUCCGAGUGUAGAGGUGAAAUUCGUAGAUAUUCGGAAGAACACCAGUGGCGAAGGCGGCCAACUGGCACAUUUCUGACGCUGAGGUGCGAAAGCGUGUGGAGCAAACAGG